UAGUCCAAUACACUGAAUUAUUCGUCCCUUCAAUAUAUCCUUGGUCAUGCAAUGAACUUGGAAGAAUGUGUUAGGCGCAGCUAUCCUUCACUUGUAUGAAUUUCUGGUCACAAAAUCUGCAGCCUUUAGGCAAGCCCUAAAAUACCGGUCAGAGAAUCACAAAAUCACAAAAGCUUCCAGGCCAGAUCACACUUGAGCUUUUUUAGGGGCAGCUCUUUAUGCACUGGCUUAUUGAUUCAUUUACACCUUCAACAUAUUUUAUCCUGAACUUGACAUAGUCCUUGACUGAGGAAUAGGAGAGUCUCAGCCUGCAAACCUUGGGAGGCAGCGGGGACCAGCUAGGUAAGUGGCAGGCUCAGGAGCACACAGAGUGCUGCGGAAGCCUGGUUGUGGGGCAGGAGAGGACCAGGACAGUUCCCAGGGACCCUGAAGGGUGAGGAACCCGGCUGGUGAAGAGGAGAGAGAAGGGCAUUCCUGGGGUAGCAACCAACAUACGCAGAGGCCCGGGAAGAACAAGUAGCUCUGGGUGGUUGAAAAACUAUGAGGAUGAAGGGAAACUAUGAGGAAAGAUGGGGUGAAGAAGGAAGAGGAAGAAUCCUCAAACCCAAGUCCAGAAGUCCUGUUACCUCAUCUGGUCCGUAGACCAUUUGAUCCCGAUAAGUUAGGUAAAUACAUUCGUACUGAGGGUUUUUGUUGUUCCCAUGAGCUGGGUUUAGCCCCGUUUCUAUCUUUCCCAUAUGUAUCUAAAUUUACAGUAGCCUGAUGAAAAAGGAGAUGUGUCCUUGAGAAAGUCUGAAUUCUCUGUGCCUCAGUGCCUUCAUCCACAAAAGGUCGACCACCUCUGCUGCAUAUUGUGAAAAUAAGAGAGAAUGCAGAUUUGAGUUUUAUAGAAAUGCAGGAAAUCUUAGUUUAUGACAGCAGGGCUCAGGGCAAAAGAAUGAAAACGACUCUACACCCCAAGCAUUGAAUUGUCCCAGACGACUUCCAAAGGCAAAAAAAAUAAAGUAACUCAGGGAAAGUAAGAGCCCAAGACCACAGAUCAUUAUAAAUUCAAUUUUUAAGUGCGGGAAAUACAGACAGACAUCCCAGAGUAAUCAAUACGUGCCCUCCAAGAACUGGUCACAACCCACUGUGAAGUCAGUUUACUGGGUCUUGGAGCAUUUUUAUUCUUCUUUUUUUUUUCUCUCUCUCUUUUUACAGCUGCAUCUACAGCACAUGGAAGUUCCCAGGCAGGGAUCAAAUCAAUCAGAGCUGUGGCUGCAGCCUACACCACAGCUACGGCCACACCGGAUCCUCAACCUAUGUGCUAAGCCACAUGGGAACUCCAGCAUUUUUAUUCUUAAGAAGCAAAAUAAGAGUAAAAUAGAAGGUGAAGUAAGCAUUGUUCUUAGAACUUUUAAAUAUGUAUUUACAUGUAUAAACACUGUGGAUUAUGAUAAAACAUAUAUCCUUAGUAUGCAUCAUGUUUCAAAAAGUCCAAAAGCUGCUACUUUAAGUGUUACAUAGAAGAGCUGAUUUCACUUUGCAAGACUCUGAGGGUCAGCAAGCGACCUAAUACACAAGCAUUUAUGCCAUAUUCCGAAGAGCAAAACGGUCUUGAGAAAGGCAAGACGUGGUAAUUUACCAGGAACUUCCAUGGCAGCAAAAUCAGAGGAGAGGGAGAUCCUUGGGGAAUGAAUUCAUCCAAAAAACGUGCAAAGUGGAGGUGAACCUUGAGCUCGUCCACCAAAGAUGGAUAGAUCUGGGUGGGCAGUGACAAAGGGAUGGGGCAUAGGAGGAGGAAGGCAGGAGGGAGGUGGGGAAAUGUGAGGCUUAUUAAAGAAUAUUUAGGGAGUUCCUGUCUUGGCUCAGUGGUUAACGAAUCCGAUGCGGAACCAUGAGGUGGCAGGUUCAAUCCUUGGCCUUGCUCAGUGGGUUAAGGAUCUGGCGUUGCCGUGAGCUGUGGUAUAGGUUGCAGACACGACUCAGAUCUGGCAUUGUUGUGGCUCUGGCGUAGGCUGGCAGUUACAGCUCCAAUUGGACCCCUAGCCUGGGAACCUCCAAGUGCCACGGAAGCGGCCCUAGAAAAGACAUUAAAAAAAGAAAAAAAAAAAAGAGUAUUUAGAAAAGCAAAAAUGAAUAUCAAGUUGGGAGAAGAGGGUUAUAGCAGAAUCUGGGUUUAGACUAAAAUAUGACCCCCAAAUUGUUCUUUAUUGCCUAUGAUUUCUUUUCCUAAUCCUGCUACUGGAAGAGAAUCUAGGCAGAAGAAUCUGUCCUUAAUCUGUAUUUUCCUGCACCUUUUUCAUUCUUUUGCAAUAAGGUACUGGCUAAGCCUUGUUCCAAAUGAAUGGAAUGGUUGAACUCUUGAAAUUACGCCACACUGUAGCACGAUUAUUUCAUUUCUCAGAACACAAGUAUAGUCACUGGCCCCAGAGGGAUCAAGUGAUUGUCGUAAAAUGGAGCAAACCCCUUCCAUUGUCUUCAGCACGUGUCCUUUCUCGAGUGCCUUGUGGGUGGGAGGCCCUGUGCGGGGCGCUGGCAGCUCUGUGAUGGUGAAUCGGCCCGCUUGGUCUUCAGAACGCACAAAAGGAAGCGUAGAAUCUGCCGGGUGUUCUUUUUCAGUUGCUCUCUGACUUGUCCAUCUUUUUAGCUAAAUAGAUAAAUGUUUCUAUGCAUUUUGAGACAUUAACCUCAGAGGACUUUGCUGUAGCUGCAGCCUUCUUUUGAGGAGAUAAAAAUCAGAGAAGAAAGUCUUUACUCGUGUUUCUGAAAACUUUGGGUGGGCUUUUUUCAGCUCUAUCUUUCCUGUGCAAUAAAGCAACGGUAGGGUGUUGACAUCCUCUUGAAUAAAGCUGUACCUUUAACCAGAAGAAUCUGUGCCCAUAUAGAAAUUCAUGGGCUUCAAUUAGUUGAUUUGGAAGGCAGUCAAAUAUGGAAAUUCACUUUUCUUAUGAAGAUGUCCUGGACUCCUCUUUAGCUUCUCUCUUCCACAUCAGAAUGUUUAGAUUAGUGAUAAUCUAGCUUUUUUGCCUGAGUCAAGUCUGGAAUAAUAAAAACAUGUGGAGGCUGCUUUUGCAUUGAAAAGACAUCUGUUGAAUUUUAUGGGGGAAAAUGUAUAUAGACACCCUUGCAAUUCAGACGACUUGCUGUUUUGAAUGCCAGUGAGAAGAAUUUGCACUGCUCUUUAUCUGGACAUAUUGGAGUUGGCAGCAUAGUAGCAGCUUUCUAACUGUUCCUGUCUGUAAUCAGACUAUCCGCUUUAUUGUGAAGCAUCACUGAGCACCCAAGUUUUUAUUUCCGGUCAGUAAUAACUGACCCUUAGCUGGAAGGUUAAAUGCUAUGACCUGUGAAAUCUGAAUCCGAAUCCACAGGUAGAGAGCUUAGAAAUCUAUUUCCUAUGAUGGUCCACAAAGGGUUCCAAACACCAGGCUUGGACACCAUUGUUCAGUCUUGUCUAUUUACAAGGAAGUAAAAAGAUUACAGGUAAGGAGUUCCGUCGUGGCUCAGCGGAAACGUAUCCGACUAGGAACCAUGAGGAUGCGGGUUCGAUCCCUGGCCUCGCUCAGUGGGUUAAGGAUCUGGUGUUGCCACGAGCUGUGGUGUAGGUCACAGACGAGGCUCGGAUCCCGCAUUGCUGUGGCUGUGGUGUAGGCUGGCAGCUCUAGCUCCGAUUGGACCCCCUAGCCUGGGAACCUCCGUAUGCCUUAAAAAGCAAAAAAUAAAAUAAAUAAAAUAAAAUACAGUCCCAAACAUGUUAAUAAAUUAUCCGAAAUCACUGUUAGAACUGGGGGGGAGGAAAAAAAAGCUAGACCUCCUCUUUCUAAUUCUCCACUAAGGGUAGGAGGAACAGGACCCAAAGUGAGGACCUGAAGGGCUCCUGAGGGUGAGGGAAAGACAUCAAAUUACCCCUGCAGCCCUUUCUCCAAAACUAAGAGUCACCGCGGUGAGCCUUUCUAAAUAACAACACAGGGAUCUCUGUCCCCGGGGUCUGUUGUGAUAGAAAAAUUGUGGGGAUCAGCUGUGUGAUCUGAGGCCAGGCGCUUUCUUGGCCUUACACACCCAGAUUCAGUUUUAAAAGGCGACUUUCUUAGGUCCUAAACCGGGCAGAUAACCAAGCCAUCUCUAGGAUGACUGCUUUAGUCACUAAUCGCAGCCUGUGACACUCGCAGAACCAAGCAGACC
This 4161-nucleotide long non-coding RNA is filed under the name Sus scrofa (pig). Its description in RNAcentral is "lncRNA (ENSSSCG00000052305.1)". The record is from RNAcentral. Lineage: Eukaryota; Metazoa; Chordata; Mammalia; Artiodactyla; Suidae.